RNAcentral lists this ribosomal RNA (257 nucleotides) under uncultured bacterium. Its description in RNAcentral is "partial 16S ribosomal RNA". It matches the Rfam family "Bacterial small subunit ribosomal RNA", at positions 524 to 776 of the family's 1533-position model. The record is from RNAcentral.
UACGUAGGUGGCAAGCGUUGUCCGGAUUUAUUGGGUUUAAAGGGUGCGUAGGCGGUUCCUUAAGUCAGUGGUGAAAUACUUCAGCUCAACUGGAGAGGUGCCAUUGAUACUGGGGGAACUUGAGUACUGAUGAGGUAGGCGGAAUGGACGGUGUAGCGGUGAAAUGCUUAGAUAUCGUCCAGAACACCGAUAGCGAAGGCAGCUUACUAAAGAGUAACUGACGCUGAGGCACGAAAAGUGUGGGGGAUCAAAACAGG